Long non-coding RNA from Herpailurus yagouaroundi (jaguarundi), 713 nucleotides. RefSeq lists it as uncharacterized. NCBI's taxonomy places the organism in Eukaryota, Metazoa, Chordata, Mammalia, Carnivora, Felidae. The transcript is spliced from 2 exons. The record is from RefSeq and is a predicted model, not a curated record.
AGCCGGCUGUGGGGCUCGAACUCAUGAACCAUGAGAUCAUGACCUGAGCCGAAAUCUAGAGUUGGGCACUUAACUAACUGAGCCACCCGGGUGCCCCGAACUCUGGGAAUUCUAAAAUGAGUGAGACCUGGAACAAAUACUUGUUUGCAGGAGUAAGAUGGACCGGGCAUACAGGGGAGCAAGAGUGGUCCUGCUUGGAGAGAUCUCAGGAGGACACUUGGAGGAGGCAGCAUUGCAGCAGGUGCUUGAAUGGCUCAGCAUGACUGGCCAGAAGAGGUGGGGAAUGUCAUGGGAACCCCAUUACUGGCUUGAGCAAGAAAGCCCAAGAGACCCACCAUUCAUGCCGACCCAGGCUGGUCUGGGUGAAGCACGUUGGGGCUGCCAAACCCACCGCAAGGUAUUAAGAUGCUUCCCUUCCAGUUGGUGAAGAGCUGCUAUCUCAAGUCCCUAGUGCCUUCUUCCCUCUCCUGGCCCCUCCCCUUAAGAGCCACCCUCCAUCCCUCAUCACCCUGCAACUAAAGCAAGGGUGCUUUACCUUUCUGUGUGUCACAGACCCCUUUGUUAUCGUCUGCUGAAGCCUACAGACAAUAAGGGUUGUUUUUUUUUUUUUAUGAGUACAAAAUAUAUGGCAAUCCUAAACACAACACACUAUAUAAUAGAAAUCUAUAUAUCUAUUCUGCAAUACCUGUAAUAUAACAUGAAAACAUCUGUGA